Kogia breviceps (pygmy sperm whale) is the source of this 74-nucleotide non-coding RNA. The record is from the annotation of a RefSeq genome assembly. Lineage: Eukaryota; Metazoa; Chordata; Mammalia; Artiodactyla; Physeteridae.
UAGAUUGAAGCCAGUUGACUAGGGUAUUUAGCUGUUAACUAAAAGUUCGAGGGAAGUAUACCCCUCCAAUCUAG